Molecule: non-coding RNA, 269 nt
Filed under: Clostridium disporicum
Lineage: Bacteria; Bacillati; Bacillota; Clostridia; Eubacteriales; Clostridiaceae
Description: T-box sequence
Rfam family: T-box leader
About the family: Uncharged tRNA acts as the effector for transcription antitermination of genes in the T-box leader family. T-boxes are found upstream of many aminoacyl-tRNA synthetase genes and some amino acid biosynthetic genes usually in Gram-positive bacteria. The anticodon of a specific tRNA base pairs to a specifier sequence within the T-box motif, and the NCCA acceptor tail of the tRNA base pairs to a conserved bulge in the T-box antiterminator hairpin.
Source: RNAcentral
UGAAAGGCAAUGAUGGAGACAAGUAAAAAAAAUAUUCACCUACAGUGAGCUGGAGACAGUGUAAACCCAGUGGCAGAGUUUUUUUGAAUAACACUCCGUAGCUGCAAUCUGAAAUUUCUUUUUAAAAUACAAGCAUUAUGUUUGUUUUUGAUGAGAAAUAGUAGGUACGCCGUAUUCUAUACGUUACAUAGAUACCAGUACUUGCUGGAAAGAGAGACCUUUAUGGUAAAUUAGGUGGUACCGCGGAUAAGCCUCAAUUCGUCCUAUAU